RNAcentral lists this long non-coding RNA (211 nucleotides) under Rattus norvegicus (Norway rat). RNAcentral's name for it is "long non-coding RNA NONRATT021939". Lineage: Eukaryota; Metazoa; Chordata; Mammalia; Rodentia; Muridae. The record is from RNAcentral.
CGUUGCCCGGGCCGCCCGGGCCGCCCCGCGGUCCCUUGGGCUCCUCCAGGCCCUCCUUCCCGUCCCCAUCGCCGCUGCUGCUGCUCGCCGCGCCCGGGCUCAGCGAGCGCGUCUCGUCGCCGCUGCAGCCGCCGCUGCUGCUGCCCACCAGGCUCUCGGCGCUGCUCUCCUCCUCAGCGCCGCCGCUGCUACUGCCCUCGUCCUCGUCGUC